This 898-nucleotide ribosomal RNA is filed under the name Bacillus sp. (in: firmicutes). RNAcentral describes it as "bacterial SSU rRNA". It matches the Rfam family "Bacterial small subunit ribosomal RNA", at positions 79 to 960 of the family's 1533-position model. The record is from RNAcentral. Lineage: Bacteria; Bacillati; Bacillota; Bacilli; Caryophanales; Bacillaceae.
UUGCUCCCUGAUGUUAGCGGCGGACGGGUGAGUAACACGUGGGUAACCUGCCUGUAAGACUGGGAUAACUCCGGGAAACCGGGGCUAAUACCGGAUGCUUGUUUGAACCGCAUGGUUCAAACAUAAAAGGUGGCUUCGGCUACCACUUACAGAUGGACCCGCGGCGCAUUAGCUAGUUGGUGAGGUAAUGGCUCACCAAGGCAACGAUGCGUAGCCGACCUGAGAGGGUGAUCGGCCACACUGGGACUGAGACACGGCCCAGACUCCUACGGGAGGCAGCAGUAGGGAAUCUUCCGCAAUGGACGAAAGUCUGACGGAGCAACGCCGCGUGAGUGAUGAAGGUUUUCGGAUCGUAAAGCUCUGUUGUUAGGGAAGAACAAGUACCGUUCGAAUAGGGCGGUACCUUGACGGUACCUAACCAGAAAGCCACGGCUAACUACGUGCCAGCAGCCGCGGUAAUACGUAGGUGGCAAGCGUUGUCCGGAAUUAUUGGGCGUAAAGGGCUCGCAGGCGGUUUCUUAAGUCUGAUGUGAAAGCCCCCGGCUCAACCGGGGAGGGUCAUUGGAAACUGGGGAACUUGAGUGCAGAAGAGGAGAGUGGAAUUCCACGUGUAGCGGUGAAAUGCGUAGAGAUGUGGAGGAACACCAGUGGCGAAGGCGACUCUCUGGUCUGUAACUGACGCUGAGGAGCGAAAGCGUGGGGAGCGAACAGGAUUAGAUACCCUGGUAGUCCACGCCGUAAACGAUGAGUGCUAAGUGUUAGGGGGUUUCCGCCCCUUAGUGCUGCAGCUAACGCAUUAAGCACUCCGCCUGGGGAGUACGGUCGCAAGACUGAAACUCAAGGAAUUGACGGGGGGCCCGCACAAGCGGCUGCAGCAUGUGGUUUAAUUCGAAGCAAC